GCUUGGGUGGCUUAGUUGGUUAAGCAUCCGACUUUGGCUCAGGUCAUGGUCUCACGGUUUGUGGGUUUGAGCCCCGCAUCAGGCU
Molecule: transfer RNA, 85 nt
Filed under: Felis catus (domestic cat)
Lineage: Eukaryota; Metazoa; Chordata; Mammalia; Carnivora; Felidae
Also listed under: 3 other names
Rfam family: tRNA
About the family: Transfer RNA (tRNA) molecules are approximately 80 nucleotides in length. Their secondary structure includes four short double-helical elements and three loops (D, anti-codon, and T loops). Further hydrogen bonds mediate the characteristic L-shaped molecular structure. tRNAs have two regions of fundamental functional importance: the anti-codon, which is responsible for specific mRNA codon recognition, and the 3' end, to which the tRNAs corresponding amino acid is attached (by aminoacyl-tRNA synthetases). tRNAs cope with the degeneracy of the genetic code in two manners: having more than one tRNA (with a specific anti-codon) for a particular amino acid; and 'wobble' base-pairing, i.e. permitting non-standard base-pairing at the 3rd anti-codon position.
Source: Rfam by way of RNAcentral